GUAAAUAUGGACCAAAACAGACUGUUAUUUUCGUCAUUUAUCGUUUAAUUAUGUGCAAUUAAGGAAAAAUUGACGGUUAUUAAUCUGGAUUGAUAUAAAGUGGGACACUGGGGAAAGUGCGUGUAUGUAAAAUAGGUGAACUUUGAUUGUAAAAUGACAUGAAAACUUGUGUGAAAAAAAACAAUGAGAAAGGUCGAAAUUGCAAAUUGCGGGUAAUUAAGUGCCUUAUUGUGAUGACAAUGUCGGGAAGUGAUUGUUGAAAGGAAAAUGUCAAAAGUAUGGGUAAUUGUCUUUAUUGCACCUUGAUGAAAGAAUGAGGUGAUACAUUUUCCAUGGUCAGGACAUUACUUCAAGGCUAAGGUGUAAUUAGCUCCACACGUCCCAUUUACAUCAACCUACACUCCUUUUAUCCUACAUUCGUUGUGAUUAUGAGUCUGAAGGACAGGAUGGAUGCUGAGAUUUUUGGCAGUCAAACGGAUGGGAGUGAAAAUCUUCGACGAUGACUCCGAGGACUACAAAGAAGUUACAAGUAAUAGAAAAAAAGUUGAGGAUGUCCUCGAAGAAGAAAUGACUGGAAUGCCAUACUCGCAAAUUUAUUAAUUUCGAACUGAUAUUUCGUCACUUUAUGAACUUUGUAAUCACCUCCAAAAUUAAACAUUUUGUGUUAUUUUUCCAUGAAAUGCAUUUUUAGAUGGCCAAAAACAAUUUUAGUAACAAAAAUUUAAUUACAAAAUGUAUUUCAUCUUU
Molecule: long non-coding RNA, 747 nt
Organism: Belonocnema kinseyi
Lineage: Eukaryota; Metazoa; Arthropoda; Insecta; Hymenoptera; Cynipidae
Exons: 3
Source: RefSeq, a predicted model, not a curated record